GCAGCAAAAAGAAUGCCCAGAAGGAAGCUGCCUGCAGCAAGUGAGAUCCUGCUAAGUUAAUCAAGCUUGCUGCCCUGUCUCCCUUGCUGAGAAAUUUCUAAGUUUCUCCUGCCACAGUGGCCUAGCCAACAGCAGAGGAGCUGAGUGAGGACCUACAGACAGAUCCAAGUGGAUCUCUAUCAACAAAUUAGUUGACAAGGUGUGCUAGUUAUUUAAGAAGGAGGAGAAAUGUGGAAGAUUUACGUUGAAGAUGAGCAUAUCACUCCCUGGAAGGCCAUCUCAGAAAAGCCAGUGAGGAGACUAGGCAGGAUCUCACUCACGUGGCCAAGAAGCAUCAUGGGGGACUGCCUCAGACCUAAAGCGCUUACUAGAAAUUCCUGUUAGUGUGUAUACUUUUACAAGUCUGGACUUACCAAGGCAGGUGUGACUGCCACCCUUGCCUCUUAGACUACUCUGCGACUCUGUGUGCUCAAGCAACAACAACUGGUUUUCUUAAUUUCUGAUUUGAGUAACAGUGAGCGAGUAGCUCAGUUUAAAGCCAAGCCAUACAGUUGUUUCCCCAAGUUUACUUUUUUGGCAGAGAUGGAGCAGACAAUGAAGAAAUAACAAAAGCAGGCAUAGAACAUCUUCUCUCAGAGCUCUGAGUAGAUGGGGAGGAGGAACAUGAGCUCCAUUGUCAUCCAUGCAGACUCAAAGUAUCUGGAGUGGCCCUGGCACUAGAGUGAGACUCUGUGGCGAGGAGGAUGUAGACUCCAAACAGGAGGAACAGGCUUUGCAAACACCGUGCAGUGGGAACUUCUGAGAAGCUGUGGAGGAGGCCUAGAGGGAUGCUUACAGACUGGAGCUGGAAAAUCAGAAUAUUCACUCUAAGACGAUAACUGUAUUUGCAUUUUAAGGAAUAGAUUGUAUUGGGGAGAGGAAGAAGAUUGAAGAUGGUGGCUUACUUAGACGCUCUAAGUAGAAAAUGUGUGUCUUAUGAAUACAUUUUAAAACUAAGUCGUGGUAUCUUGCUUUCAAGGAACACUUUAAAGUUGUUAGUUAAAGUAGAGGAUAUAGUUAUUAAUUCUAGAGUUCUCAUAAUUCAUGAAGAUCAAAGAGCUUUAUGUUUUUCUUGUGCUUCAUAAAUAUUAAAGGUUAAACAAACAGCUUUAAUCUAUGUGAUAAAACUGGUCUCCAUUACUGAACAGAAAAUUGUGAGCAAAAAUUUUAACUUCCUUAAGCCUGUGUUGUCGUGUUUUCAUUAAGCUAUUUUAGCAAACUUCUGUAUACGAAGUGGGCUUCCACUGAGAUGAGAAGGGGUAUUAAUGUUGUCAUCUUCUAGUUAAUCCCAAUAAAGUGUGAAGGGCUAACGUCAGUAAGGUGCAAUUCUGGAAAACAGGGACCAGGAUUCCUUUUUAUAACUUUUAAUGCACUCCAGUGCCCAGAAAUAUUGUUAAUAGAGAAGGAAGUUUAGUUAAUUCACAGAGGUUUCUUUUUUGAAAAAUAUGUUCGAUAAUGUGUUACAAAGAAGUGUUAAGUCAAUGAAUUUAGAUAACUUAGCAUGGAGAUAUUAGAGACCAUUGUAAAGAGAAUUCAGUUUUUUUUUCUCACGCACAUCAUGAGAAAACAGAGUUUCAUUCUGUAGUAAAUAAAAAGAAAGUGUGUUACUUGGAGUAAAA
Long non-coding RNA from Mus musculus (house mouse), 1658 nucleotides. RefSeq annotates it as predicted gene, 31832. NCBI's taxonomy places the organism in Eukaryota, Metazoa, Chordata, Mammalia, Rodentia, Muridae. The record is from RefSeq and is a predicted model, not a curated record. The transcript has 3 exons.